GGAUACACCCAGAACAUAUGGAGGUUCCCAGGCUAGGGGUCAAAUCAGAGUUGUAGCUGCCAGCCUAUGCCACAGCAACACCAGAUCCGAGCCACAUCUGUGACCUACAUCACAGCUCAUGGCAACACUGGAUCCUUUAACCCUGGCAUGGCCAGGGACUGAACCCACGUCCUCAUAGAUACUAGUCGGGUCUGUUAACCACUGAGCCACAAUGGGAAUUCCCAAAACUAACUUUCAAUUUGAUAAAUUUAAUAAAACUCAACCACCUACUUUAAAAAUACAUUAUUUCAUUGAAUUGAAUAGUAAUAAUAAUAGUAAGAAUAACAGUAAUCAGGACUACUUAGGAAAAAAGAGUAAGAAAAAAAAAAGAGUAAGAGUGAUAUUGAAACAGUGGGUAGGGUGAUGCAAAUCUCAUAUGCUGGAUAGAACACUUAUAAGGCCUUAUGAUUUUCAAAAGCUAUUAACAAUGCAAUAUCUAUCAUAAUUAUAUAGAUCUUCUUGGAAAGGUGUUCCUUAGCCUCUCUUGGGCAUCUAUAUUACUGAUUACCAAUGCGAAGUGUAUUUGGAUCUGGCCUAAAUCCUUCCUUCUGCAAAUCAAACAUAUGUCCUCUUGCUCUAUUCUUAAUGGAGACCAGACUCUAAAUAAUUGCCCUGCGUGUUACAUUCCACGGCACUGUCUGGGUUACCCAGCGCCACGGAGGACAUCCUGAAGAGAAACCUUCAAGGUCAAACGAGACAUCUCCAAGCUAACAAAUACAGUUUUCUCCUCGCCAGUUUUAUCAGCAGGGAGAAUGUCUCUUCAAAUAAGAUGCUGAAACCGAAAGUACGCCAGAAAAUGCACCGUGUUUAAACCACGCAGAAGCUUGACAGUGUUGCUCUAGUAAAUAUUUUCCAGUAAUAUUGUAUAAGAGUUCGAGUCUGAGUUGUUCGGUCAUCAGAAUCAAGUGGCAGAUUCUUUAAUGACCCUUUUUGCUCUAAAACCACCGUGAUUAUGAUUGUUUCUGGCACAGAGUAUAUUGGUCAAGGGUAAGCUUUGACUCUGUGUCUCUCUCUGAUUGUGUUUUGAAAACAAAGUAAAAUGGAGUAUUAACCAAUCCAGCGCCAGUGUGGAUGAUUAACUCUACCACCUCCCUCUACCAUCUAUCCUGUGCUCCUGCUUUCUCUACCUCCCACCCCAAACACACACACAAAGUCCUUUAUGUUCAGUAACUGCGUCUCAUGACUAACAUGGUCUGGGUAUUUACACAUUCUCUCCACUAGAUGCUGUAUCCAUUAAUCCCAGACAGUAAUUGUGUAUUCAUAGGAUGAUCACAAAAGAACAGAAGGCAAAGAGUUCCCAUUGUGCCUCAGCAGAAACAGAUCUGACCAGUAUCCACGAGGAUGUGGGUUCGAUCCCUGGCCUUGCUCAGUGGGUUAAGGAUCCAGUGUUACCAUGAGCUGUGGUGUAGGUUACUGAUGAGGCUUGAAUCCUGCAUCCUGCAUUGCUGUGGCGGUGGUGCAGGCUGAAAGCUGCAGCUCUGAUUUGACCCCUAGCCUGGGAACUUCCAUAUGCCUCAGGUACAGUCCUGAAAAGACAAAAAAAUAAAAUAAGGAAGACAAAACUGUUAAUGAUUAUGAUAUCACCUGCUGUUUAUUAAGUUAUUCCUUAGAACCCAGGGUUUCUGUUAGGUGCCUCCUAUAAGUUACUAUGUUUUAUUCUUUUGGAAGCCCAUUGUGAGUUGAACUGAAUUCCGCCCAAGAGAUACACCGGAGUCCUGGCUGCCAGGACCUCAGAGUAGGACCUUAUUUGGAGACAGGUCUUUGCAGGAGUAAUUAGGUUACAGUGAGGUCUUAGGUGGGACCCUAGUCCAAUAUGAUGGGUGUCCUUAUAAAAAGAGGAAAUUUGGACACAGAGACACACAUCUAGGAAAAACACCAUGUAGAUAGACUGCCAUCUACAACCUGAGGAGAGACCUGUGCAAAUUCUCCCUCCAACCUCAGAAGGGACCAGCCAUGACAAUACCUUGAUCCCAAACCUCCGUCCUCCAGACUCUGAGACAACACACUGCUGUUGUUUAAGGCACCCAGUUUGGUUAUGGUGGCCAAGGGGAGUGGGGGAGGGAUGGACUGGGAGUUUGGGAUUAGCAGAUGUAAACUAGUAUAUACAGAAUGGAUAAACAAGGUCCUAUGUAAAGCACAAGGAAUUAUAUUCAGUGUUCUAUGAUAAGCCAUAAUGGAAAAGAAUAUGAAAAAGAAGGUAAAUAUGUACAAGCGAAUCACUGUGGAGCAGAAAUUAACACAACACUGUAAAUCAAUGAUAGUUCCAUAAAAUAAGUUAUUAUAAAAUGAAAAAGAUUGGUGAGACAUGCUGGUUUAAGGAAUGAAGGUCCAAAAGCCAGCCUUCUUGUGCAUCUCAUCAGGCCUUGGGCCAAUGUGAUAAAAGAGUAGACAGCUCUCUAUCCAAGGAAAACCAUGGCUCAAAAAGAUAUAUGCACCCCAAUGUUCACAGCAGCGCUAUUCACAAUAGCCAAGACAUGGAAUAAACCUAAAUGUCCAUUGACAGAGGAGUGGAUAAAGAAGAUGUGGUACAUAUAUACAGUGGACUAUUACUCAGCCAUAAAAAAGGAAUGAAAUAAUGGCAUUUGCUACAACAUGGGUGGACCUAGAAAUUAUCAUGCUUAGUGAACUUAGACAGUGAGACACAAACAUCAUAUGCUAUCGCUUAUCUGUGGAAUCUAAAAAAAGGGUACAAUGAACUUUACAGAACAGAAACUGACUCACAGACUUUGAAAAACUUAUGGUUACCAAAGGAGACAGGUUGGGGGUGGGGAAGGAUGGGCUGGGGAUUUGGGAUGGAAAUGCUGUAAAACUGGGUUGUGAUGAUGGUUGUACAAUUAUAAGUAUAAUAAAAUUCAUUGAGUUAAAAAAAAAUGAGCACAGAGCUCUAAAUGCACAAAGGACCAAGGCUGGAGACACAGUAUGGAAGGAGGAGAGGGGAGUGGGGGAAGUAGGAAUUGGCCAAAUGGAAGUGUGAGAGACACAGAAAUGGAUGUCUUUUAAAUGAAGUGGAAUGAAAUCAUAUUACUGCCCUGGAAAACUGCUGGGAAGCCAGCUACCAAUGAAAACAAGCAGAGAAGUCCUUGGCUGUUGAAUGGAACUCAAGAAAAGCAUAUGAUGAUAUUUUUGAACAGCUUAUGCCUUCUGAGUUUAUGCUAAACCCUCACAGUUAGUAAUGAGAAAUCUUUCUGAAAUUGGAAAGAAUGUCCCCCAAACAAAAACAAAACAAAAGAAAAGGUCGGUCAAAAUGGUGGUCAUGAAAUGGGCAACUCACUGAUAAUUCUACAUUCUAAAAUAUACUUUUAUUUAUGGGUUGACUUGAUGUCACAGACCCAUGCAAGUAUUUCCACAGCAACCAAUUUCCAUUGGCGCUGGACUCAUAAAGUAUACAUGUAAUUUGCUUUCUGAUGAUUGGCAGAAGAACGUGGAAAAUUGGCAGAAACAGAUGAUGGCUGAUGAUUUCUACAUGGCAGCUCUUCUGCUCUGUGAAGUCACUCAGCGUGAUGAGCUUCACACAUUCCUUAGGCUCAGGGUAAGCAAAGUAUGGCCUUGAAUAUCGAUGGUCAGGAAGGUGGGCCCCACAUCAGCCACUCUUUAGAGAAAUGCUCUGUGGAGUUCCCAUCGUGGCGCAGUGGUUGGCGAAUCCGACUAGUAACCAUGGGGUUGCGGGUUCGAUCCCUGGCCUUGCUCAGUGGGUUGAGGAUCCGGCGAUGCCGUGAGCUGUGGUGUAGGUUGCAGACGCGGCUCGGAUCCCGCAUUGCUGUGGCUGUGGUGUAGGCGGGCAGCUACAGCUCCGAUUGGACCCCUAGCCUGAGAACCUCCAUAUGCCGCGGGAGUGGCCCGAGAAAUGGCAUACAGACCAAAAAAAAAAAAAAAAAAAAAAAA
Molecule: long non-coding RNA, 3921 nt
Filed under: Sus scrofa (pig)
Lineage: Eukaryota; Metazoa; Chordata; Mammalia; Artiodactyla; Suidae
Description: lncRNA (ENSSSCG00000046858.2)
Source: RNAcentral